Molecule: long non-coding RNA, 381 nt
Organism: Jatropha curcas
Lineage: Eukaryota; Viridiplantae; Streptophyta; Magnoliopsida; Malpighiales; Euphorbiaceae
Source: RefSeq, a predicted model, not a curated record
CAAAGAUAGAAAGUUAACGCAUCCUUCAUGAAGAUGUUUGCAUUCAAGUUUGCUUCCAUUGCAAUUUUCCUACUGAUUGUCUCUGGUUUGCAGGUUGGGGCAAGAGCAAGAGGCCCAAUAGUUGGUUUUGGAUGCAAAACAGUAAGAGAUUGUAUUGAAAAUAAUCCAACAUGUUCUCAAGAGAUUUGUCAACCACCCUACUGGUGUUUUUGUAUAAACUAUAUGUGUGCAUGUCAACCAGAUUUAUUAAGUGCUACAACCUUUAUUGGAAAUCAAAUAGCAAACAAGUAAAAGGAAUUGUCAAAACAUGUGUAACUUAGUAAAACUUUUGAAUUGGGCUUUUACUUGUAUACAGAAAUAAAAAAGAAAGUUUGGCACCAA